AUUUAUUAUGGAGAAAUUUGAAAAUAGAAACUCUGUCAAAAAAGAAACCAAAAAUGGAAACAACUGUGUCAAUAAUUAAUAGAGAUUUUUUUUUUGUUUGUUUAAGACAUGUAUUCACUUUUGACUUUUUUUUAUUUAUUUAUGACAGAUAUAAAUCUAAUUUGGGAUCAAACUAAUUAACCAAAUGUGGCUGAGGUCAAGGUGGUGUCACCAUCAACGACACUGCGGCUACCUGAUUACAGUUCUGUCCAUGCCAUCCCAUCACAUUCUUCAUGUGUCCACCGAUUUCUACCUUCUCAUUGUAGACGCCGGAUUUCACAUAGAUUAUGGCUCUUGGAGGUCGUCUGUCGCCCAUUCUAGCAAGUGCAGCCACGGCAUGGUUAAUUGUUGUGUGAGUGCGUGAACCAUCUUUUGCCACCACAAAGUCAGCUCUGGAUCUUGCCGGACUCCACGAUGCUAAAAGCCCUCCAUAUGGCCUUGCAUUGGAGUUUUGUCCAUGCCGCACUUCUACAUUAUAUUAAACCAUAAAUUGCAAAAACUACUAAUGCAAAAAUUAAAGUCAUGAUAAUGUAACACAAAAUAUUUGUAAUGUAAAAUUCAAAUUAAUAUCACCUAUUGGCUAAAAUUUACGAUCAACGUACUACUUACUCAUUGCCUCAUCAGUAGUCAUAGUACUCUUCCCAUACAGAGCAAGAGCUUCACCAAGCACCACGGUCAAGUUUUGUGCCACCGCACUAUACAGUUGAGCACCACUAGUAUUCUUAACAACACCGUUCUCUUCCAAGCUAUCCCAACAACUCCUAUGGUUAGCAAGCACACCGCUGAGCCAUGUCCGAGCAUCUUCUCCGGUAUAAUUACCCUCGCCGGAUAUCAACUCAGUCAUCAGCCUCGGCACACUCUCAUCAUAUAGUCUUUCACAGUCCAUCAGAGCCACGUCACGGCCAGAAGAAUCCGAUUCAGAGCUUGCCAACACAUGUACCCGGUCCAUCGAGGUACAGACCACAUUGGUGGCUUGAAGAACGCUAUCUAGGGCCAGUUGAACCGGUUUCGGAUCUUGGAAGCAGGAUGUGGAAGAAGCCAUGGUGAUGGAUAGCAGGAGGAGGAGGAAGGUGGUAACAGAGGUGGACAUUUUUGGUGAGUUAAUGCUAGCUAGCUAGGGAAAAGUGGUGAAAUGCAUGAGCCUGCAGGAGAGCUUGAAUGAGUUGCAGGAUCGAGGUGGUGUGGAUUUAUAGAGACAGUCGGGGAGGGGUGGGGGGAAGAAGAAAACACGUGUAUGUAGCUACUGGUGUUGUAUAAGCUAGCUAGCCAAGUGAGAUUAAUUGGUGCUGAUUUCCUUUGUAAAUGAUGAGCCACUUCCAAAUUCAGUUAUGCAUAUAUUGUAUAUAUUGUUUCCUGAUUUUCUUUCUAGCUUUUUGUAUCUGUUCGCAGAGAUAGAGUAAAUAUGCUCUUGUUAUGAAGUAUAUAUGACUCGUGUUAGAGAUAGAAGUAAGGGACCUGAAACAAACGUGUGUCAGGAAAACCAUUCCAGCGGGUAGUGAUGAUAUUGAUUUGGCAAGUAAGAGUAGUACUACGUGCCAGUGUUCUAAACAUGCACAUACGUAUACUUUUCUAUUAAUGCAUGUUUUGUAAUUUACUGCCGAUCGAUCGAGUUUAGUUAGAGUCUCAUACGUUUAUAUAGUGUUGCCUUCUGCUGACUCCAUGGAUCGAUAUAAUACAAACAAGUUUUAAUCAUAGUGAUGAACUAAUCGGUGAUGAUCGAGAUCAGUACGUAACGCUCAUUACUCAUUAAGUUGGUCACCAUGCCUGCACACUAAGUUGGUCACCAAAAUAAACUCGCAAAAUGCAAACAUUAUUCGUUCAAAGAAUAAAUAGUAGACGUACUAAAUUAGUAAAUUUCAUCUUAGACAAAGAAACUAGCAGACCAAGUUAAAGUCCAAUCAUCUUACAGUCCAUGUCUUUGAUCUGCUCCGAUAAUUCACGUAAGAAUAUCAAUAAUCAAUCGUUUGCUGCUGAUGUGCGAGGCAGUAGCCAUUUCUCCCGAGAGUCACUUUCUUAUUUUAGCACAUGAACUAACUAACUGUAUGCUUAUAAAUGAUCAAUAUGUUCUAAUUACUUUGAUGAUUCCCGAAACCCCCCUUGCAUUCUACCAUUUUGGUGUCAAUCCAUAAUCCCUACCUGGUUACUUACAACUACAAAUACUACUAGGAUUCACUAUUUGUAAAUAUAUUCUCUGUAUAUAUGGUGAUCAAAACUAACACUUUUAUGAAACUAACACUUUUAUAAAGUGGAAUCAACAAUAUAAAAUCCACAUGAUAAACAAACAAGUAUUCGAAGUUCAAUUCUUCGAGUUUAAAUAUACAACAGAUGCACAAACAGCAGGAAAAGUGAACAUGAUUUAUCAUGCAGCUUGAUAAAUGGGAUAUAAAGCGUGCACCACCUCUACAUGCGCGCAACAAAUGUUUAUAGAAAAAUAGAGGAAAAAAACAGGUGGAAAAUUAUAUAUUAAAAUAUAAAACAAUGCAUGAAACAGCAUGAAACUCGUAUAUGUGUAACAUAAUCACCUGUCACGCAAAGAAUAAAUCGAACGGCUUUCAUAUCCUUGAGUUCUAGAAUGACAUAUCACGUACAAUUACUACAUGAAGACUAUUAUCAAAAGAAAAAGGAUGGAAGGAUCAAGACUUAUUUGAUCAUUUUAUGUUUAAAGUCUACACACACAAAAAACUAAUUAGGUUUUUGAUCUAUCUACAUAUUUGAAUGAAGAUAAACUUGAUGACUAGAAUACAAGCAACUCGAUCUAAGUCUAUGACACUGUUUGUAUGAAACAUUUCUGAUUUUGAUAGUUUUAGAAGUCAAAGUCAACAAAUUUGAUUUUUUGCUGGUGAUCUACUACCUAGCUUGUUUUGGGUUCUCAACCAAGCGAUAAUUGCCACAGUCGUGUUUGAAUGAUCAUCAUCUGCAGUCUCUGCUCGAAAGCUUUGAUUUCUUUUAGUUAGAGCUCCAAUUAAGUCAAACCUUAAAAUAACAACCAGAUUUAUUAUAUAUGACAGCAAUAUAUGAUGGUCGCAUAUCUGGUGUAAUAAUUUGAAAAUGAUGAUGUCUCUUUUCUUUUCCUUGGUACCAAAUUAGUCGAACGCAGAAAGUUAGAUCAGACUUCUCCGGUUCAAAACUUCACUUUUGGAUUUCCGGAAAUGAAAGCAAAACUAGCUAAGGGUUUACGUAAUCUUCUUCAAUUCUUCCAACCCAAAAGAUACAUAUAUUAAACAAAUUAACGACAACAAUCCUAGGCUAGUGAUCAAAUACAAUCAAUUUGAAAAAUGGUUAACAGAGUUCUUUUUAGGUGGAAGUAGGGGAUCUAAGUUUAGCAUUCGAGGACUCGCUAAAAUAAUUGAAGAACAGAUUCAGAUGGAAUAUGUUCAUAUCAUUGCGACAACAGCUACCAGCAAAUAGUUAUGAUGAUGAUGACCAAGACUGACCGGAUAGACACGAAUAUAUAUAGAAUUGUAGCUAGCUUGCGAUAGAAUCAUAUAUAAAUCCUUUAGAAAUGAAAUUAUUGAACGUCGUCUUCAAAUUCGAUCAUUAUAUAUUUGUACGUCGAUGGUGUUUAAUUGGUUAAGCCUUGAUUUUCAACAUGAACAGUAUAGUUGUUCCUAGCUAUUGCCAACUAAGGUCAUGACUAAAACAUUAUGGUAUUCCCAUCGGCUUAGUCCUGGACUACUACUCAUGGUACAUAUCCAAUCAUUUUUGAUAAAUAAUUACCAUUUUCUUUUACAAAAUAUUUAAUUGCCAUUUGAGAAAUCAAGUUUAUCCAUCAAGUCCUUCUUUCUCUUUCUUAAUUUUCUCCAAUCAACAGAAUAACUUGACCAAGAGAACCCUUUUAGUGAAGACUCUUAAGUUCAGGACUAGUUGAUGACUUUUCGAUUUAUGGUUUAAAAGACAUAUUUUUCGAUCACAUAUUGGCAUCUCAUCCGUUCAAUUUUUAGGUCUAUAUGCGUAGAUCAACCCUACAAUUUUUCAGCCAAAUCAAUGAUCGUUAAGGUAACAAACUAGAUCAAAUUAAUGGACAAACCAAAUCUGUUAAACAUGAACCGUUCAAGUUCAUAAUUGAUAAAUCACACUUAUAAGUCUUAACGAUUUUCAAUAUGGCUGAAAAUUUGCAGAAAUAAUCUACUCAUAAAUACCUAUAAACUGAACGGUCUAGAUGUGGAUAUAAGAUCGAAAAGUGAGAUAAACCGAAAAGCCUUUAACUAGUCCUGAACUUAAGAGUCCUCGUUAAAAAGGCAACUACUUGGACUAUUUCCACCCAUUCCCACAACAGGAACCACACUCAACUUAUCAUCGGUUGCAUUAUCCGACAACAGCAAGUUAAUGAUGAACUUCUUGUCCUCCUCCCUUCCAUACACAUCAAAAUCAUUUACCAGAGAAGAAACUUCAAGUGAUCUUGCUGGUUGUGGUUUAUCCUUAAAACUCUCUUUCAAACCAAUCUCAUCUUGUUCCUUCAUAAUAAGUUCUAAUCUCUCGAGGGUCUCCAAUAACUUGUGCUCCAUAGAUUUGUCAAAUUCAAAUGUUGAAUUAGUAGAGCUGAGAUCGUGUACCUGACUACCUAGAGCUUCGGUAGUGAUCUCAUCGAGCAAGUCCCCUGCAACAUACAAAGCAUGUUUAAGCUCGUCAAGCCACUCCCUCCCAUUCGGGUUUCUGAAUCGCUUCUCCUCUGCAUCAUCGAGCACUGAAUUCACAGAAAGCAGCUUCAUCUUUAACUUCCUGAGCAAUCCAUAGUUGACUUUCUGUUUGGAGAUGAAGUCAACUACUUGACGAGAGGCAAGUCUGGCAAACAAAACAGACAGAAAUGAAGAGAGAAAAGCUCCACCCACCAACUCCAGAGCCUUGGUUUAUCGGUCAUGCAGGAAACAGGAAGAUCACAGGGGAAGAAGAAAGGAAGUGAUCAGAAGAAAAAUGAAACAAACAAGAAUUUGAGCUGUUAACUUGUGAUUGUUAUUCUUGGAAAAUGAGGUUCAAGCUAGAUUAGAUAGUCUAUUCUUCUUUAUUCAUAAGCACAUGUCCAUGUUUACAAUAUUCCUAUAUCUUAAUACUAAUCAUCGAGUUGUGUAAAUAGCACAUAAAGAAUAGUAAUUUAUUAAGAUGCUAAUGUAUUCUUACAGGAUUCUGGAAAAAAUAAAAAAUAAAAAAAAAUAAAAAUCAACUAUCUAAUAGAUAUUGAAUUAGAAUCAUAAAAAGCAAUUGUCUUUAACUAUUUGGCUUCUCAACCAACAUCAAAUAGCCCAACAACGAAUACAACAGGUAACUCUAGUGAGAUUUAAAUUUAAAUCUCAGCGCUGUUGAUCAAGCAUGUCAUGAACCAAACACACAGUUGUCCUGUUUGACAUUUCAGCCAUGCUUUUCUAAAAUAGCCAAAAUGAAAAAACAUUCUUUAGCCAAAAUUUAAUAUUGGAAGUUACAAAAACAAAAACACAACAUUUGUUUACUCCUGUAUUGCCUGUCAUAAGAGAACCCCUCUGUUGCAGCUUCAACGAAAUAGGCAGUGAUCAUACUUCUAACCAAGGGUACACUUUUGGUGAUGAAGGCAACCGUGCUGUAAGAACUUCAACUCCAGUCUCUGUCACCUAUAAAUUAAGGGGAAAAAGGAAGAUAAAGGAAUUACAUAUAAACCACUGUAGCCUGAUUCCCCAGACAAAUAAGCAGGAUUCAUUAGCAGAUGAGCUAUCAUGAUGACAUCUAACCUAACUAAAUCUCAAUGGUAUUCUAAUUCAACGUAGAUAAAUAAAACAGCAUACUUGAUUUAAGACAAUACGAAUAGACCAGCUUAAGCUACUUUCUCGUCAUCUCAGACACACUUGAAGUUCUAACGCUAGCAUGCCACUAUACCCAUAUUACUAGAAGAAACAGUUACGAAGAAUAAUAAAAUAACAAUCCAAAUACAGAUCAAACUAAGGAAUAUACACAAAUGCACAGAAAACCAACAAGAAUGUCCUUCUGACAGUCAGAGAAAUGGCAGCUAGAGAAGUUGCAAACAAGUUACCAACAUAACAUAAUAAAAGGAAGUACACAGUUACCAGAAGUGUGUGCUCGAAUUGAGCACUUCGUUUCCCAUCUGCGGUAACAGCAGUCCAUCCAUCAGGCCACAUUCGAUCACGCAAACCCCUAAUUGAUAAUUAGUUCAAAUUUAAUAAGGUGUACCCAGCAACCAAAAAGCUAUUCAAUAUCACAUAAACAACUUUCCAAAAGUACCUGCAUUGAUCAUCGGUUCAAUCGUGAAAGUUUGCCCAGCUUUCAUCACUCCAACUGCUUUAUUUCCUGCUUGGAUUAAAGAUAAGCAAUGCAUUAAAAGAAGAAGAAGAAGAAAAACAAUCCUUAGAUACAGAAGCUGCUUAAUGGAACAUACUUGCAUAGUGAGGAAUAUUUGGUGCACAAUGAAAGAGCUCCCCUAUACCAUGACCACAAUAUGAUUUCACCUGUUGGUCCAAUACAAGAUUUGCUCAAAUUCUAUCUGAUGGACUUAAAAAUGAAAGUAUUGUGCAAAUCUAAAUACAAGCUGCAAAUUACCACAGAGAAUCCUGCCAUAGUAGCAUGGCGAUUAAUGACUUCUCCAACUUCACGAAAUCUAACUCCAGGUUUUACUGCACUUGAAAAAAGAUUCACGAAUAAGGUGGUAUGCUUUCAAACCCACAAAAUACUUGAUAGUACACUGUUGCACACUCCCAAUUACAAAUAAAUAGGUUGAGUUCUCCGACACAAUCAGUUAUCACUAGAAUCUACAGUUUGCCUAUACAAACUUAAGCAAAAACAACCACAAAGAUAAUUCAAGAAUUAUUGCAUUGCAAUUUCCACGGCACCAAAUAAGUAUACAUGCAAUAUCAGAAAAUAAUAAAUAUCAAAAGCAUAAAUGAAUAGGAGACACAUGAGGAAAGGAGUAAUAAACUUGAGCUGUGUUUUCUUGGAUCUGUUACAUAUCCGGCAUGACAGAUAACAGAACCCCCAAUAUCAAAAUCCAUCAUGGAACAAUUGUAAAUUUUACUUGAGGAUCCCAACCCAACUGAUAGAUCAAUGUACCAAAUAGUUGCACUGUAAUGCAUACCAAUGGCUAUUGCUUUUUCCAAGCACUCGUAAGUACACUGUACUAGCCGUCGAGACUCUUCAUCAACAUUUCCCACAAAGUACGUAUCAUUGAGAUCACCUGUAUUAUGAGGUAACAAUUGGUCAAGCAAAAACAUUAAGAUAAUUUUGAACCACAUGUUAAAUGUGGAGAGCAAGAAUUACCAUGGACGCCUUUGUAAUACACAGUUACGUCAACAUUGACGAUAUCACCAUCUUCUAAUUUCCUGGAACAGAUGUUUCAGUCAAAUGAAAUAGAACAAAAAGGAUAAACAAUAUAGACAAAUGCCUCUAAAUUCUUGUCUUGUAGUCUUCUAGAAGCAAUUUUCAGGAUAAAGGGGAUCACUAGUUCAAACUUCAAAGACCGAACGAAAAAGAGCACAUAACAAAAAAUUAUACCUGGCAUCAGGAAUCCCAUGGCAAAUUACUUCAUUGACUGACCUGUAGAUGGAAGCACAAUUAUUUGAACAAUAUUGUACAAUCUCAAAAAUAAAUAAGAAAAUGUACAUGAAAAGAUACCUACGUGCAGCAAGACUUUGGGAAAAAAUGAUAAUUGAGGGGAGAUGGAUAUCCGCCUGCAGUAAGUUAAAGUCAGACAACCAGACGAACAAGAUUCGGCCACAUAAAAGCUGAUCACUAAAAAGCAUAGAAGUUAAAUAUAUAUUAUAUAUAUAGUCAUAUAGCUAUAUAUGUUAUAAUUAAUAGCAAAGCAUAAAACUAACAUGAUCAAAAUUAGACAUUAAAUUAUCUAUACUGUUAUUAAGAGACAAGUUUGUCAACCAAAACAGAAUUUCUUUUCUUUUUUUUUUUACCAAAUAUCCCUCAAAUAUUAAAAAAAACAUCUGAACCAAAUUAUUUGGAAAUCGAAGAACAAAAUGGCCAAUUCACAAAUAUAAGAAAAACAUCAGAAAUUUUAAAAAAAAAUUUUAAAAAUUCAGCAAUUUUCUCUACAUUUUAUGGAAUAAGUUCCAAGUAAUUCCCAUGUUAUCCACAUCCCUCUAGUAUGAAUAUAAACUAUGGAACUGAACUAGUAAAUAAACUGUGAAAUCAAUAAUACUAAAGAGCAUAUAAGACUUGAAGAAGACAACUAGUUUUGGCACUGUAAGUAAUAUGGUGAAAGCCUAUUAUAUACCUGCAGCUAUAGUAGCAUCAUGGACCACCCUAUCAAUUUCAUCAGUCGUGAUACCAGGCCGUAUGACACGAGCAGCUGCAUCCAAAACCUCUCUUGCAAUCUGACAACAAGAAGAACGCCACAGUAUAAGUAAAAAUUAAGCAGACAAUAUAGUGAAGAGUUCACAUUGAUGCUUAAUGAUCACGGAAGAAAAUAAGAAAUAAUCACUUGGAACUUACUCGACAAGUUUCUCGCAUCCUCUCAAUUUGAUCUGGAGUCUUGAUCUGCAAAACGAAUACAUCAUUACGUACUUGGAAAUAAAGAAAAGAAAAAAAAAAACAAAGAGAGCAGAAAAAUACUAACCUGAUAGCACAUCAACCUAUACCUAAGAUAUGAUAUAUGUGUGUAUAUAUAUAUAUAUGAGGUUAUCAAGUACAUUUUUACCUCAACAAUUCGCUGGAGGUCACUACUAGGCUCCUCUUUUGGGAUUCCCUGCAAGUUUUGGAAGGUCAAAAUCAUGAUGGCGUAUUUGCAUCUAGAAGUAGCAACAUAAUGUAGCAUCUAACUACCAAUCAGAUCAGCAAUGCAUCUAGGGAAAUUGACCAUGAGGAAUACAUAGAAAUGAUUCUGAAACUUACAUCAGCUGCCCAAUCAGGUAGAUCAAUAUGAGAAGGUACCACACGCUUACUAGAUAUAGGAUAUGGCCUCAAUGUCCUGCACAAGAGAGAUAACUUCAGAAACUCCAUAUGAUGAUCAAUUCGUGUGAUUUAUAGCAUUUUACAUGAUGCCACAAGCAUAGCCAUGAAACGUAAAUUUCCAAACCACGAGUCAAAGAAUGCCAAGAGUCAAGCCCAUCAAUCAUACUUAACACUAACAAAAGGGCAGGCAAAAUCACAGAAACAUACCCAGUCCAUUCAAAAUAAGGAAGUUUCGGAGAUCGACUCUGUCCUUUCUUCAUACAAUAUAGCCAGCCUUCAUUCUCCGUAUUCCCCGUCCCAUCAGACUGCUUCGCCUUUACAUGUACUGAUUUAUGCGAGCUCCACGAUGCCUUAAAACAAUCCUGUGUGCUGAUAACAGAGGUUCCAAAUCUUCAUAAUCAGACAAACUCAAAGAUCAUUUUCAAACUUACAGCAACAUACGCUAUCGAUUCUUGUCUAAGAUUCUUGUCUUAAUCAAACUACUAAUGAACUCUAAAUCCUGAUCAACCUAAACUCGAAAAGCGCAACUCGCUAUAAUUUCUAAUAAUCCAUUAUUAACACAAAGAAUGAAAUCAUCACGCACCAGAAAGCAGCAGCUUCACGAGGAAGCUUCAACUCCACACACUUGGGGCACCUGUAAUAUCAAAAUCAAAGCUGAAUUCAACAAGUUCCAAUCUUUUAAAGCCAUAAACAUUCAAGAAUUCUCAGAGUCAAGUAAUUAUUGCUUCGUUAAUCAAAAGAAUCAUAAAGAUUACAUCUUCGUGUUGCGAAAUUGAAAGAAAAAUUUGAGAGUGAGAAAUUAACGUACUGAAGAUUGGCGGGUUUGCUGCAGCGAGCACAGGAGAGGGUAGCGACGUCGGCCAUGAUCGCAUUCAGUGGGCUCCGGCGAGCUGCGAGAGGUCAAUUUGGUCUGAUUUCAGUGACAGAGAAGAGGAGGAGGGGCUAGGGUUUUGGGUUGAGAGGGAAAUCAGUUGGAGAUUUCUCUAUUUAUACAAAUUAUCAAUUUUCUACAUUUAUUAUAGAGAAAUUUGAAAAUAGAAACUCUGUCAAAAAAGAAACCAAAAAUGGAAACAACUGUGUCAAUAAUUAAUAGAGAAUUUUUUGUUUUUUUGUUUAAGACAUGCAUUCACUUUUGACUUUUUUUUAUUGAAGCAAUAUUUCAAUAGAGAAAAUGAUCCAGGUGUAUACAACAAAUCUGACCCUUAUUAAAAUAAGCAAAUUACAACAAACCGAGAUUAAAAUCACAAUAGAGAAACUCAUCAAAGUCUUUACCUAACUAGUUAACAUAAACCAAAUCUAACAACCACUAUGAGUCAAAUUCCUUACAAUACAUAGCUUCUGGCAAAAUUAAUGUCGAUCUAGCAAGUGUAUGAACCACAAUAUUUAAUCUUUUCUUUACAUGCUUUCACAGAAGAACACAAAUUCUCUCUUCAUAUCCUUUUCUUUACAUUUACUUUUGACUUUAUCCAAAAUAAAAUCAAGUGAAUAUAUUAUACUAACAAAUGUAAGGGUUAUUCAAUUGAGUGUGUUAUAGUAAUUUUACAAAUUCACACGAUAUCUUUAGUUUUAGUAUGAUCAACGACAACGAGUCAACGUUGAAACGUUGUGGUAUUCAAUUUGGUUCCUUGAUAUUGACUGAAUUUAUUUACAUAUGGUCAAUAUAUAAUCUGUGCAAGUUAAAUUUGUAUGAGUUGAUUCUUCUGAUAGUAGUGAGUGGUAAUAGUUUUGUAGUGUUGUGUCUCCUUCUUAAUGCAUUUAAUCUCUUGAUAAAGAAAAUUGUGAGAGUUACAAAUAAUAUUUCUCUUAAAAAUUAAACAAUUGCUAAUCUUUGCUCUUCUCAUAUAAAAGAAAAAACGGCUAAUAUAUGCAAAGAGGUUAUAGUACAUAUAUACUACCAUAAUAUGGUAUUACAAAGUUUUUUUUUUCUUUUUGUAUGACAAAGUUUAUUUACCAAUGAUUAUAUUCCAAGCCAAACCGGCACACCGGUCCCUAGAAUCCAUGACUCUCCUUGAAUGAAAUGGCUAAUUGAGUAAGGGCUGACCUCCCGAGGACUAUUAAGCACAUGAAAACUAGGCCAUCUAACCCUCUUAUCAGUUGAGGCACCCUGCCCUACAUUCAUAUACUCCCCAUAAUACAGUGUUGAAAUUGCAAAACUACCUCUCCAUUCCGUCCACCCCUUUGGAUCAACCAAACCAUCCAAAUCAGUCUUUAAGAACACUGUCCUCGAGUAUUUAUGCCAUGGCCGAUCAAGGUAAGUCUUAAACGAACCCUUAACCCCCUCAAACUCCCUCGCAGGCCUAACGCGACAACCGUGAAUAACAUUGCCCGUGUUCUCUGCCGGGUUGUCACGUCCUUGAGCAGUGAUCAUGUUGGAUUGGUGCCCCAAUGGCCUCCUCACUAAAAUGUCGCAAUUUUGUAGCACGACAGAGGCGUCACCAAAUAUGAAAUCGAUGGUGCCGUAUAUGUGACUGUCACGGUAGAAUUGCCUUAGGGAGUGGGCGUAGAGACUGUCUUGGUAUCCCUUGAUGCUACAUCGGUAAAACACUGCCAGGUCGGAGCUAACCCUCAAUGCCACUGCUUGGUGCUUUUGUGGACCGGCUGUAUUCUCAAACGUUAUGUCCCUCGCCCAAAAACCAUCCCCUGAGACACCUGCAAAAAAUGACAACAUUACAAGUGAUUGUUUCAGCGUCAUUGUACUAUAUAUUGAUGCACAUUCUAGCUUAUAUUAUUGUUCUAAUUCUUAAAAAUUCGCUAGUGCAUGCAGAUAAAAGAGAGUUGUACUAGCUAAUGACAGAUAUAAAUCUAAUUUGGGAUCAAACUAACCAAAUGUGGCUGAGGUCAAGGUGGUGUCACCAUCGACGACACUGCGGCUACCGUGAUUACAGUUCUGUCCAUGCCAUCCCCAACAAGCAUCACAUUCUUCAUGUGUCCACCGAUUUCUACCUUCUCAUUGUAGACGCCGGAUUUCACAUAGAUUAUGGCCCUUGGAGGUCGUCUGUCGCCCAUUCUAGCAAGUGCAGCCACGGCAUGGUUAAUUGUUGUGUGAGUGCCUGAACCAUCUUUUGCCACCACAAAGUCAGCCCUGGAUCUUGCCGGACUCCACGAUGCUAAAAGCCCUCCAUAUGGCUUUGCAUUG
Molecule: long non-coding RNA, 12052 nt
Filed under: Fragaria vesca (wild strawberry)
Lineage: Eukaryota; Viridiplantae; Streptophyta; Magnoliopsida; Rosales; Rosaceae
Description: long non-coding RNA (FVES_LNC003620)
Source: RNAcentral